Molecule: ribosomal RNA, 450 nt
Filed under: uncultured Glomeromycotina
Lineage: Eukaryota; Fungi; Glomeromycota
Description: SSU rRNA
Rfam family: Eukaryotic small subunit ribosomal RNA
Source: RNAcentral
AGCAGCCGCGGUAAUUCCAGCUCCAAUAGCGUAUAUUAAAGUUGUUGCAGUUAAAAAGCUCGUAGUUGAAUUUCAGGCCUGGCUGGACGGUCCGCCUUUUGGGUGAGUACUGUCUGUGGUCGGGUCCUACCUUCUGGCGAAGCGUCAUGGCCUUAACCGGCCGUGGCGGGGAACCAGGACUUUUACUGUGAAAAAUUAGAGUGUUCAAAGCAGGCAGUCGCUUGAAUACAUUAGCAUGGAAUAAUGGAAUAGGACAAUGGUUCUAUUUGUUGGUUUCUAGGACCGUUGUAAUGAUUAAUAGGGAUAGUUGGGGCAUUAGUAUUCAAUUGUCAGAGGUGAAAUUCUUGGAUUUAUUGAAGACUAACUACUGCGAAAGCAUUUGCCAAGGAUGUUUUCAUUAAUCAAGAACGAAAGUUAGGGGAUCGAAGACGAUCAGAUACCGUCGUAGUC